UCUCAGGGGACUAUUAUACAUCAGGAAAAUGUUGAACUUUAUAAGAAGGUAAACCUCAUUCGUCAAGAAAAUAUGGAGUUAUACAAGAAGGUUUAUGGCUCAAGGGAAGCGAAUGAAACCAGCGGAAAUGCCUUCAUUCAAUACAGUUUGAGCAAUGGAGAAGAUUCACAUAUCCCAGUUCAUCUUCAACUGAGCCAGCCUGAGCAACGGCCUUAUGAUACAUCAGAAAGAGCAACAAGUAAAGAACUAAACUAAAGAAUAAUCUGACUGCGCCUCGCCCCAAAAAUUAUAUGAGGAGAAGAAAUAUGCACCUGGAGAAAGAUGAUCCGGAUAUAUAUAACUACAAUGAAAUGAAAAGUCUGACAAUAUAUGUGACAUCACAUACAACAUAAGUAGCUGAAGUUAUAAAUGAAAGUGAAAUACCGUGUAAAGUUGCAAUUAUUCAAGAGAUCAUAAUAUACU
This is a long non-coding RNA of Pistacia vera, 462 nucleotides long. RefSeq lists it as uncharacterized. NCBI's taxonomy places the organism in Eukaryota, Viridiplantae, Streptophyta, Magnoliopsida, Sapindales, Anacardiaceae. The record is from RefSeq and is a predicted model, not a curated record. The transcript has 3 exons.